CCCCAGUCAGGGCACAUAAAAGUAGCAAUCCAUGAGCCCUAACCAGUUUGGCUCAGUGGAUAGUGUUAGCCUGCGUACUCAAGGGUCCUAAGUUCAAUUCAGGUCAAGGGCAUGUACCUUGGUUGUGGGCACAUACCCAGUAGGGAGUGUGCAAGAGGCAGUUGAACGAUGUUUCCCUCUCAUUGAUGUUUCUAACUCUCUAUUCCUCACC
This is a long non-coding RNA of Pipistrellus kuhlii (Kuhl's pipistrelle), 211 nucleotides long. RefSeq lists it as uncharacterized. The transcript has 3 exons. NCBI's taxonomy places the organism in Eukaryota, Metazoa, Chordata, Mammalia, Chiroptera, Vespertilionidae. The record is from RefSeq and is a predicted model, not a curated record.